This 88-nucleotide ribosomal RNA is filed under the name Bifidobacterium sp. The record is from RNAcentral. Lineage: Bacteria; Bacillati; Actinomycetota; Actinomycetes; Bifidobacteriales; Bifidobacteriaceae.
CGGUCCCAUUCCGAACCCGGUAGCUAAGGCCAGGCGCGGCGAUGGUACUGCACUCGAGAGGGUGUGGGAGAGUAGCACGCCGCCGCUU